RNAcentral lists this non-coding RNA (92 nucleotides) under Asterionellopsis glacialis. Lineage: Eukaryota; Bacillariophyta; Plagiogrammaphyceae; Rhaphoneidales; Asterionellopsidaceae. The record is from RNAcentral.
UGUUACACGAAAAAGGUCAAUACAUGGAAGCAUUGGAAAGACAUCGAGAAGCUCUCAAUCGUUUAAAUGAUAUUUAUUUUGAAGGAGAUCAU